This 307-nucleotide ribosomal RNA is filed under the name uncultured bacterium. Its description in RNAcentral is "bacterial SSU rRNA". It matches the Rfam family "Bacterial small subunit ribosomal RNA", at positions 774 to 1077 of the family's 1533-position model. The record is from RNAcentral.
AGGAAAUAGAUACCCUGGUAGUCCACGCCGUAAACUAUGGAUGCUAGCUGUUGGCCGUAUCGACCCGGUCAGUAGCGAAAGCUAACGCGUUAAGCAUCCCGCCUGUGGAGUACGGUCGCAAGACUAAAACAUAAAGGAAUUGACGGGGACCCGCACAAGCGGUGGAGCGUGUUGUUUAAUUCGAUGCUAAGCGAAGAACCUUACCCAGGUUUGACAUCUUCGGAAUUACUACGAAAGUAGUGAGUGCCUUCGGGAACCGAAUGACAGGUGAUGCAUGGCCGUCGUCAGCUCGUGUCGUGAGAUGUUU